CUCCUCCCUGCGGCUGACAGGUGUGCUGUUGGGGGAGUGACGAGAGCUUUCCUGCAGGUCUGGCGAGGAAUGCCCCGCGCGACCCGCCGGCUGGUCCGUGACGGUCUGAAUAUUCUUUCGACUAUUAAACCGUAUGAGGGCGCGCGAGCCCGGGGGUGCGCGUCGGGGACGGCGCUUUGCGUCACGUCAUCGGUUUCGAUUACGCGAUUAAUGUAACUGCGUAUGGGAUUAGGGCAGGAAAUUACUCGUGUGGGGAGAGGGAGUUGACUCGAAUGCAAUGACCUUACCUCGGGAACAGAGUGCAAGAGACUUCCAGACACAGACACCUUCCUCCGGCUGCAGAGAGUGACAGGCUGAUAGAUGGUGCUGUACACUCGCUCGCCUUCUGCACUGACCUGAUGAUUUCAAUCUUCCCCUACACUUUAAUUGAGUCAUAAAUCUUUGGACAAAAUCCAGAAGUAUUUAAACUGGAAGGAAAACAAAGAAUACAGUGAGAGAGUGGAAAAAUAGAUAAAGCCAAGAUUGAAUCAGCCAUGAUGUCAUUGAAUGGAGGAGCAGAUUCAAGGAGCUAACUGGCCAAUUCUUGCUUCUUACAUUCAGCUGAAUACUGGAACAAGCACUGUGAAUGUUGGAAAGAACUUGUGCGGUCAACAAUAGUUUUGUGAAGGAGCCUGACCACCAGAGUGCCUGUCUAAAUU
Mobula hypostoma (lesser devil ray) is the source of this 698-nucleotide long non-coding RNA. RefSeq lists it as uncharacterized. The transcript is spliced from 3 exons. The record is from RefSeq and is a predicted model, not a curated record. NCBI's taxonomy places the organism in Eukaryota, Metazoa, Chordata, Chondrichthyes, Myliobatiformes, Myliobatidae.